Molecule: long non-coding RNA, 715 nt
Organism: Formica exsecta
Lineage: Eukaryota; Metazoa; Arthropoda; Insecta; Hymenoptera; Formicidae
Exons: 3
Source: RefSeq, a predicted model, not a curated record
GGACGAACUUUUUUUAUUCGUGCCAUAUAUCGCGUUAGUGAUGCCAUCAUGCGACAGUUUCGUCAAGUGAACUCGCGCGAGCAUUGCGGUUAAACGUAUUACGAGAAUAAAUAGUACCUGUACGUAAGCAUAUAAUGUCGAGAUGCCGAAAAAAAGUAUCGGAAGUGUCGAAAAAGUUAUCGGGAGUGCCGAGGGAGAUAUCGGGAGUAUCGAGGAAAGUAUCAGACGAUCGUAUUAUGUGUAUCGGAAGUGUGAAUAACGCGGGACACUUUGUGAACUCUAAUUAGAGGUUAACCUCCACGCGAUCUAAGCCUUCUUAAGCAUACUAAUUAAAGUACACAAUAAUAAUUAUUUAUUUCUAAUUCUAGUCGCUAUACGCAUAUUGCUUCAAUAUUUCACGUAAUAUUAUCGAGACUAAAUAUUUCGCGAGUGAAUGAAUAUCGAGAAGAUCGGACAAAAAACGUAUGAAUAUAAAUCAUCGAGAAUCGGGAAUGUUGAGAAUCGUAUCAAAUAUCAGGCGUUUACUGUUGAACGAUCGAUAUGCGCGAUCAAAAUUAAACUUUCGCGAGUGAGUGCUUUGUGGAACUUGGAUGAAAUUCGUCGUCGACAGAAGUUGGCAGAAUAUCAGCGACCGGUUUGGGAACUGCGUUUUGGCGACUUAGCAUCUUAUGGAUUACUGACAUGCUAAGUCGUCAAAAGUCGCCGAGCUCUGUGA